UACGGGGGGGGGCAAGCGUUGUUCGGAAUUACUGGGCGUAAAGGGCUCGUAGGCGGCCAUCUUAGUCUGACGUGAAAUCCCUCGGCUUAACCGGGGAACUGCGUCGGAUACUGGAUGGCUCGAAUCCGGGAGAGGGAUGCGGAAUUCCAGGUGUAGCGGUGAAAUGCGUAGAUAUCUGGAGGAACACCGGUGGCGAAGGCGGCAUCCUGGACCGGUAUUGACGCUGAGGAGCGAAAGCCAGGGGAGCAAAGCGGG
Molecule: ribosomal RNA, 255 nt
Filed under: uncultured bacterium
Lineage: Bacteria
Description: partial 16S ribosomal RNA
Rfam family: Bacterial small subunit ribosomal RNA
Source: RNAcentral